RNAcentral lists this ribosomal RNA (429 nucleotides) under Acidobacteriota bacterium. RNAcentral describes it as "Acidobacteria bacterium partial 16S ribosomal RNA". It matches the Rfam family "Bacterial small subunit ribosomal RNA", at positions 355 to 776 of the family's 1533-position model. Lineage: Bacteria; Pseudomonadati; Acidobacteriota. The record is from RNAcentral.
UGGGGAAUUUUGGACAAUGGGGGAAACCCUGAUCCAGCCAUCCCGCGUGUGCGAUGAAGGCCUUCGGGUUGUAAAGCACUUUUGGCAGGAAAGAAACGUCAUGGGUUAAUACCCCGUGAAACUGACGGUACCUGCAGAAUAAGCACCGGCUAACUACGUGCCAGCAGCCGCGGUAAUACGUAGGGUGCAAGCGUUAAUCGGAAUUACUGGGCGUAAAGCGUGCGCAGGCGGUUCGGAAAGAAAGAUGUGAAAUCCCAGAGCUCAACUUUGGAACUGCAUUUUUAACUACCGGGCUAGAGUGUGUCAGAGGGAGGUGGAAUUCCGCGUGUAGCAGUGAAAUGCGUAGGUAUGCGGAGGAAAAACGAUGGCGAAGGCAGGCUCCUGGGAUAACACUGACGCUCAUGCACGAAAGCGUGGGGAGCAAACAGG